GACCGAACCGACUAAUGUUGAAAAAUUAGCGGAUGACUUGUGGCUGGGGGUGAAAGGCCAAUCAAACCGGGAGAUAGCUGGUUCUCCCCGAAAGCUAUUUAGGUAGCGCCUCGUGAACUCAUCUUCGGGGGUAGAGCACUGUUUCGACUAGGGGGUCAUCCCGACUUACCAACUCGAUGCAAACUACGAAUACCGAAGAAUGUUAUCACGGGAGACACACGGCGGGUGCUAACGUUCGUCGUGAAGAGGGAAACAACCCAGACCGCCAGCUAAGGUCCCAAAGUCAUAGUUAAGUGGGAAACGAAGUGGGAAGGCUCAGACAGCCAGGAUGUUGGCUUAGAAGCAGCCAUCAUUUAAAGAAAGCGUAAUAGCUCACUGGUCGAGUCGGCCUGCGCGGAAGAUGUAACGGGGCUAAACUAUGCACCGAAGCUGCGGCAGCGAUAUGUAAAUAUUGUUGGGUAGGGGAGCGUUCUGUAAGCCUGUGAAGGUGUACUGUGAGGUAUGCUGGAGGUAUCAGAAGUGCGAAUGCUGACAUAAGUAACGAUAAUGCGGGUGAAAAACCCGCACGCCGGAAGACCAAGGGUUCCUGUCCAACGUUAAUCGGGGCAGGG
RNAcentral lists this ribosomal RNA (611 nucleotides) under Vibrio parahaemolyticus. RNAcentral describes it as "partial 23S ribosomal RNA". It matches the Rfam family "Bacterial large subunit ribosomal RNA", at positions 772 to 1379 of the family's 2925-position model. The record is from RNAcentral. Lineage: Bacteria; Pseudomonadati; Pseudomonadota; Gammaproteobacteria; Vibrionales; Vibrionaceae.